RNAcentral lists this microRNA (22 nucleotides) under Anolis carolinensis (green anole). RNAcentral's name for it is "aca-miR-9573-5p". The record is from miRBase by way of RNAcentral. Lineage: Eukaryota; Metazoa; Chordata; Lepidosauria; Squamata; Anolidae.
AUGGACAAUUUUGGUUUUGAUG